GGGGCCCGCACGAAGCGGUGGAGCAUUGUUGGUUUAAUUCGAUGAUACGCGAAGAACCUUUACCGGGGUUUGACAUGCAGGUGAUCGCCGUUUGAAAGACGGUUUUCCUCUUCGGAGGCACCUGCACAGGUGCUGCAUGGCUGUCGUCAGCUCGUGUCGUGAGAUGUUGGGUUAAGUCCCGCAACGAGCGCAACCCUUAUCCCCAGUUGCCAUCAGGUAAAGCUGGGAACUCUGGGGAGACUGCCGGUGAUAAACCGGAGGAAGGCGGGGAUGACGUCAAGUCCUCAUGGCCCUUACAUCCCGGGCUACACACGUGCUACAAUGGCAGGUACAGAGGGCUGCAAAGCCGCGAGGUAGAGCGAAUCCCAGAAAACCUGUCUCAGUCCGGAUUGAAGUCUGCAACUCGACUUCAUGAAGGCGGAAUCGCUAGUAACCGCGAAUCAGCAGGUCGCGGUGAAUACGUUCCCGGGCCUU
RNAcentral lists this ribosomal RNA (474 nucleotides) under uncultured Latescibacterota bacterium. Its description in RNAcentral is "bacterial SSU rRNA". It matches the Rfam family "Bacterial small subunit ribosomal RNA", at positions 916 to 1382 of the family's 1533-position model. The record is from RNAcentral. Lineage: Bacteria; Pseudomonadati; Candidatus Latescibacterota.